GCACUGGUGGUUCAGUGGUAGAAUUCCAGCCUUCCAUGCUGGAUACCUGGGUUCAGUUCUUGGCCAAGCA
This 70-nucleotide transfer RNA is filed under the name Loxodonta africana (African savanna elephant). It matches the Rfam family "tRNA". Rfam says of the family: Transfer RNA (tRNA) molecules are approximately 80 nucleotides in length. Their secondary structure includes four short double-helical elements and three loops (D, anti-codon, and T loops). Further hydrogen bonds mediate the characteristic L-shaped molecular structure. tRNAs have two regions of fundamental functional importance: the anti-codon, which is responsible for specific mRNA codon recognition, and the 3' end, to which the tRNAs corresponding amino acid is attached (by aminoacyl-tRNA synthetases). tRNAs cope with the degeneracy of the genetic code in two manners: having more than one tRNA (with a specific anti-codon) for a particular amino acid; and 'wobble' base-pairing, i.e. permitting non-standard base-pairing at the 3rd anti-codon position. Lineage: Eukaryota; Metazoa; Chordata; Mammalia; Proboscidea; Elephantidae. The record is from Rfam by way of RNAcentral.